Molecule: long non-coding RNA, 1352 nt
Filed under: Lonchura striata (white-rumped munia)
Lineage: Eukaryota; Metazoa; Chordata; Aves; Passeriformes; Estrildidae
Description: domestica (Bengalese finch) lncRNA (ENSLSDG00000013326.1)
Source: RNAcentral
GCACUGUGGCAGGGUGACCUGGCAGGUGAUUUCCUGGUAGGGUGAUGGUGCCUCUACUUUCUCCCACAGACCCUGCCCCGGAUCUGCAGUGCGGGAGAAGGGCAGGCGUUUGCCUCUGCUCUGCAGCAGCUCUACACUGCAGUGACACAGCAGGAGGUCAAGCAGGCUCGGAAGCCGCAUUGCUCUGAGGAUGAUGUGGAUACAGCACCCACUGCAGAAACCACAAAGCACCCACCUUCACCUGCUGCAUCUCAGGAGGAUGAAACGACAUCUUCCAGUGAGAGAAACUCGCCAGCCUCCUCCCCAGCUCAGAAACCCCGGCUGUCUGCAGCCAAGGCCAAGCCAAAGAAGGCAAAAGGGCUCUUCAGCUGAAAGAUUGCUGCCAACCCUACUGAGGUCUCUGCUUCCCCCAGCAUCCAAGAGAGUUAGUGCAGAGAACCCAUGCACCAUCUGCCUCUUCUCUGCAUCUCCUCAUAGACCCUGCCCAGGUCAUGGUCCCCUCUCAAGAUGUCUCCAGUUGGGGAGAUGGAGCUCCUUUCUUCAACAGUAUUUCACAAAACAGCUUUUCUAUCUCUUCCCUGGUGCAGAGUUUGCCCAGGCUUCCUCUCAUGGCAGAACCACUGCUGGACCUGAGAGAAGUUGGAGGGAUGUUGCCAGUGGGUGUGGGACAGCUGGGCCUCUGGCAGAGCUGUGGGGUUUGGCUGCUUUUGAGUGGGUUUUCAAUAAAGGGCUGUGUAUGGGUGAGAUUCCCUCUCUUGCUCUGUCCCACCAGGCCUGUAGUGUCUAGGAAGAGAUGUAGCCUUUGGCUGCUGAGUCCUCCUCAGGCCAGUCCUGAUGUCCCAGGGGCGUGCAGUGACUCUGGACAGUGAGGUGACAGCAGCUCAUUGCUGUGGCACAGCACCCAGCUCCCAGCCAUUCUGUGCCUCACCCUGAGCAGCAGCAUGUGUUUUGGGGUGUGCACCAGAGGAUGCUCAGAUCAUGGGGACACAGUAUGCUCAGGGGGCUGGAGCCCAUGUUCUUGUCCCAUACCAGGAUACACAGCCUGUGUGCUGGUGCCUGCAGGGCUUUUGCAGGCUGGAAAAAGCCCUGGGUAGGCUGCAGGACACCCUACAUUUGCAGGCACCUCCACCAUAGUUACUGGGCAGGUGAUACAUGAUCAUGCUUUGGCCUCCAAGGAGCAGGAGACAGCCAAAACACUAACACACUGAAUGCUGCCAGGCGUGGGAGCAGCUCUGGAGCAGGUUACAGAUGCUCCCUGGCCACCAAACACCACAUCCAUCCUUUCACACUCCAUCCAUCCAUCCAUCCAUCCAUCCAUCCAUCCAUCCAUCCAUCCAUCCAUCUACUCCUGC